UACUGCUCAGUAACACGUGGACAACCUACCCUCAGCACGGGGAUAAACCCGGGAAACUGGGUAUAAUACCCGAUAGAACUGGGAUGCUGGAAUGCUUCCAGGUCUAAAGCUCCGGCGACUGAGGAUGGGUCUGCGGCCUAUCAGGUAGUAGUGGGUGUAAUGUACCUACUAGCCUACGACGGGUACGGGUUGUGAGAGCAAGAGCCCGGAGAUGGAUUCUGAGACACGAAUCCAGGCCCUACGGGGUGCAGCAGGCGCGAAAACUUUACAAUGCUGGAAACAGCGAUAAGGGGACCUCGAGUGCCAGGAUACAAUCUUGGCUGUCGUGAUGCCUAAAAAGCAUUGCAUAGCAAGGGCCGGGCAAGACCGGUGCCAGCCGCCGCGGUAACACCGGCGGCUCGAGUGGUAACCGCUAUUAUUGGGUCUAAAGGGUCUGUAGCCGGCCGGAUAAGUCUUUUGGGAAAUCCAGCUGCUCAACAGUUGGGCUUUCAGAAGAUACUGUUCGGCUCGAGGCCGGGAGAGGUGAGAGGUACUUCAGGGGUAGGGGUGAAAUCUUGUAAUCCUUGAAGGACCACCAGUGGCGAAGGCGUCUCACCAGAACGGACCUGACGGCAAGGGACGAAAGCUAGGGGCACGAACCGGAUUAGAUACCCGGGUAGUCCUAGCCGUAAACGAUACUCGCUAGGUGUCAGCCACGGUGCGACCGUGGUUGGNNNCGUAGGGAAGCCGUGAAGCGAGCCACCUGGGAAGUACGGCCGCAAGGCUGAAACUUAAAGGAAUUGGCGGGGGAGCGCA
Molecule: ribosomal RNA, 795 nt
Filed under: uncultured Methanotrichaceae archaeon
Lineage: Archaea; Methanobacteriati; Methanobacteriota; Methanomicrobia; Methanotrichales; Methanotrichaceae
Description: bacterial SSU rRNA
Rfam family: Archaeal small subunit ribosomal RNA
Source: RNAcentral